GACAGAGGGUGCAAACGUUGUUCGGAAUUACUGGGCGUAAAGCGUGUGUAGGCGGUCCGCUAAGUCGGGUGUGAAAUCCCUGGGCUCAACCCAGGAAGUGCACUCGAAACUGGCGGGCUAGAGUAUCGGAGAGGUUGGUGGAAUUCUCGGUGUAGAGGUGAAAUUCGUAGAUAUCGAGAGGAACACCGGUGGCGAAGGCGGCCAACUGGACGAAUACUGACGCUGAGACACGAAAGCGUGGGGAGCAAACAGG
RNAcentral lists this ribosomal RNA (253 nucleotides) under uncultured bacterium. RNAcentral's name for it is "partial 16S ribosomal RNA". It matches the Rfam family "Bacterial small subunit ribosomal RNA", at positions 524 to 776 of the family's 1533-position model. The record is from RNAcentral.